Molecule: non-coding RNA, 813 nt
Organism: Paramuricea clavata
Lineage: Eukaryota; Metazoa; Cnidaria; Anthozoa; Malacalcyonacea; Plexauridae
Source: the annotation of a GenBank genome assembly
CGAGAACAAAAAAGAUCAAUAAAAGUCGUUAAAUGACUUACUUUACAGUUUAAUGAGUUCUUUCUGUAUUAAUAAUAUACAUGAAAAAAAUUCUCAAUUCUGAUUGGCUAAGAGCACUGAAGUUCAGUGCGAAAAGUGAAAAUAAUAAUUAAAAAUCCGACAAAUUUUCUAAUAAAAUUAGUUAUAAUAUAUUAAAAUGAUCUAUUUCGCAUGUGACCUACCCAUGGACGUGACUGCAUAAUUUUUUCAUGUAUAUUAUUAAUAAGUAAUAGUACGGUUUCUCGUGGAAUUUGGUUCCUCGUGGAACAUACACUCGGUAGUUUUUCAAAGACUUCAAAUUGCACUCGUCCUCGGACUAGUUUGUGUGCAAUUUUGAUCGUCUUUGCACGAGAAACCAUACUAUUACCUAUACAAACAGAUUUGAAUUCCAUUACCCACACCCUUUAACAAUGUUAUACAGGGAGUUACCAAAGCACCAAUAUACUCGGUUAUUGUGCUUCAGUAUACGUAAAAUUCCAGGCUCAGAAUCCCGACAGAUUAAUUUUAACAUUGUUUUUAUUCUUCCUGUGUUGUGCCAUUUUAUGCUGCGUAUCUUAACUAUGACCAGAUUUCAUAUUGUUUGGGGGUGUAACAUUUGCUUAUAAGAGAAUUUCCCGGUUUGUGUUGCUGGUGACACGAGAUUAAAUGUAGAUGUACAAAAAAAGACAAAUAUUAAUACAAAAGUUUUGUUAUAAUGGUGAGCAGUUCUGUUGCUGAUAUAUAAUAUAUAUAAAAUUAAGGCAUCGAUAAAAGUGAAAUUAAAUUUAAUUGGAU